UCCAGCCGCGAUAGCACGUUGAAUACCACAGUUUCCAAUGGAUCACUGAAGUAAAGCAACGUUGCGUGUGGUUAGUAUUCGAAUGGGUACCUAAACAGUGACAACCUAACAGACAGUAGGCA
Molecule: ribosomal RNA, 122 nt
Filed under: Diaphorina citri (Asian citrus psyllid)
Lineage: Eukaryota; Metazoa; Arthropoda; Insecta; Hemiptera; Psyllidae
Source: RNAcentral